AUGGAGGACGAGGAGCACGAGGUGUACGGCCAGGAGAUCCCCGUCGACGGCGAGGACGUCGACAUGGGUGCCGGGGGCGACGACGCCGCCAAGGUUCGUGAUGCGCCCGCCGCCGCCGCCGCGGCUCGCUCGGCCCCUCUCUCCCGGUUCCGCACCCCAAACCCUAACGCCGGUACUGACCCUGUUCGUGUCCAGCUGCACGAGCUCGACGAGAUGAAGCGCCGCCUCAAGGAGAUGGAGGAGGAGGCCGCCGCCCUCCGCGAGAUGCAGGCCAAGGUCGCCAAGGAGAUGCAAGGUGGAGAUCCUAACGCGACCACAUCUGAAGCAAAAGAAGAGAUGGAUUCUCGUUCUGUUUUUGUUGGAAAUGUUGACUAUGCAUGCACUCCAGAAGAAGUGCAGCAGCAUUUCAAUUCUUGCGGAACCGUCAACCGAGUGACUAUCCUGACCGACAAGUUUGGGCAGCCUAAAGGUUUUGCUUACGUCGAAUUUGUUGAAGCAGAAGCUAUUCAGGAAGCUGUCAAGCUGAGUGAGUCAGAGCUUCAUGGUCGGCAAAUCAAGGUAGCGCCUAAGCGGACUAACGUUCCUGGGUUGAAGCAGCCCCGAGGGGGCCGAGGAUUCAACCCAUAUGGCGGCCACCCCUACAUGAGGCCAUAUCCUCCACCGUUUUACAAUCCUUAUGGUGGUUAUGGGUAA
Molecule: ribosomal RNA, 693 nt
Filed under: Triticum aestivum (bread wheat)
Lineage: Eukaryota; Viridiplantae; Streptophyta; Magnoliopsida; Poales; Poaceae
Description: partial small subunit ribosomal RNA
Source: RNAcentral